CAGAUAUCAAAGAGAUGAGGAUCAUAAGGAAACAAUUACCCUCUUAUGACAAGGCAGUGGAUGGAAGGCUUUACACUAUUAAAAAUGAGGACACAUUCCUCUGGGUUGUACUCCAUUUCCCAGACUUGUCCCUGUGACAAGGAAGUGAAAACUGUAUGGUCACAUUUAAGGCAUAUCUUUAAGGGGACUUUCUUAGUCCAUUUUAUGUUGCUAUAACAGAAUAUCACAGACCACGUAAUUCAUAGUGAACAGAAAUUUAUUCGGUUCAUAAUUCUGGAGGCCGGGAAGUCCAAGAGCAUGGUGCUGGAAUCAUCGCAUGGCUGAAGGUGAAGGGAAAGAGAAGUUUAUUGUUGCUGUCAAAAGGAGAUAAGCAUAUGUUUGUCAAGAUUACUUCCUGAAAAAGAUCUCAUUUUGGACUCAUUAAAUAA
Microcebus murinus (gray mouse lemur) is the source of this 428-nucleotide non-coding RNA. Lineage: Eukaryota; Metazoa; Chordata; Mammalia; Primates; Cheirogaleidae. The record is from RefSeq and is a predicted model, not a curated record.